Molecule: RNA transcript, 6762 nt
Organism: Orussus abietinus
Lineage: Eukaryota; Metazoa; Arthropoda; Insecta; Hymenoptera; Orussidae
Gene: blo
Exons: 8
Source: RefSeq, a predicted model, not a curated record
UGUGCUUGGCUUGCAGGUCGGUGGCGGCCGAAAACGAAGGUGAUUACUGAGAUAGGAGGCUCGGGAGGUGGAGGAUCGGUUCGGGCGAGUUUAGGCUACGAGAUGAAGAAAGUGCGGUAGGGUCGAUACGAAAUCGCGGCUCCGGAUGAUGCCCGAGAUCCACCGCUCGGACUCGUUGAGGUCCACCUUGGAGGCUGGACGGGAACGCAGAAUGCCGGCCGAGAUUUCCGCGGCUGCCGCACCGGCUGGCAAGACCCCCGAGAGGAGCGUCUCCUUCAAUCGGGACGUCCACGUCAAGAGGAUCGGACGUGGCACCCCGAGGGUGACAGCAGCGCUCGUAGGAGAUGGGGAGGGCAGGUUGAUAGCAACCCCAGUGCACAAGGAGAGCAUCACCUCCAGGAGCAAGGAAGACCUAGCCCAGGAGGCAGCCCUGGUGUUGCAGCAGGCCGGAAGUCUGCGUUGCAUCGUGCAGGACGAGAAAUCCCUCCCCGGGAGGUUCAGCACAUUACCUGCCAGGAAGGAAAAAAAGCGUCCCGACCUACCUUUGAAGGUACCUCGCCGCAGGAGCGAGGAAAUUGGAGUGACCACCGAUGAGCUGGUAGGACUCCCACGACCAAAAAAGAAGGCCCUGGAGAGGAGCGUCAGCGAUGCCACCCCGAAGAAGCUGAAGGGUCCGCUGUCAAGGCUCUUCUCCCCAAAAUCCGAACGCAAAGCAAAGCCAGUGAGCAGAAGUGCGAGCGACGCGAGUCGCCCCCAAAGGAAGAGGAGCGGCUCCGAGAGCGAGGGAUCCCACCUGGGUGGCGUGAGGGCGAAGAAACAGUUGUCGCCGAUCAUCGAGGCAUCGCCAAGGGUAGACGAAGCUGGCCAGCAGAAGCAGCCGUUCGAUUUUGGGGCCAACGAGCCUGGAACGACCCUGGUGAGCCAGAGAGUGGAGGAGAGGAGCGAGUCGGUGCUGGAGGAGGUCUGUGCUACCAGGUCGCCGAGGUCCCAGAAGAAGAGCCCGAGCCAUCAGGAAGUCGAAACCGAGGGUGGGAAGGACAGGGAAGGUGAAGAGACCCGGCAGAAGGGUGCGGCUUCACCAGCUAGGCCAGACGUCGACGAGGUGGACAGGGUCGGCGGGGACAUGCUGCACAGCAGCAGGUUCGACCGCCGUGCAGAGGAAUCCACCAUUCACAAGAUGAUCCACCGACUGUCUACCGACCGGUCACCACCACCCCAACUGACCAGGACCAUGGUCUCCCCUAGUCCGGGAUUUGGACACAACAACAACCGGCCGUUUUCCUAUACCCAGCCUAACGAGUCCACCUCGCCGCAUCCUCAGCCUCAGACUGGGGUGAUUUACGCACAGGUGCAGCUGGGCAAGAAGAAGGCCCAGAGGAGCCACUCUGACAGCGACGAAGGCCUAGGGUUGGAGAGGAAGGAUUCCUCCAGGGAGAACAGUCCUGCCGAGAAGGACUACCGCAGGACGGACUUCGCGUAUGGUACCGAACUGAGGCGCAACAACGAGAUCAACAGCUUCAAGUCCCGCUAUGACCAGGACAGAAAGAACGUAACGCAUUUUGGGGACUUCUGCGGCACCAAGGAGUUCCCUCCGAAUAGGACCGUGGACCCGAAAAGGAUGCACGAGUUCGAGACCAUCGACAGGCACCUCUUCGAGAAGCCAGAGAAGUACACGUCCACUGUCUUCGUGGAUGCUUCGAGUAGGGGAAAGGUUGACGGGGUAGAUGCUGCAGGGAGACCUGGUGAAAGAGGGGUUUCCAACAAGACGAGCGAACUCAGCGCCAGGAGGGACCUCCUGGAGUCUAGGAUCAAGUCCAGGCUGUUGGCAGACGAGAUGUUCGCCGCCAAGAGCAACGGCACCACCGGGCUCCCGAAGAAGGUGGAGCACGAGAUCAUCGACAAGCCCAUCGUCCCUUCUCCGGUCAUCCCAAAUCGCGUGUCCUCGCCUAAGCGGUACACCGAUACCUACAUCACGGAGACGAGGACCAACAGCAACGGGGAGAAGUACAUCUUCGAGAAGGAGAUCCACGAGGACAACGGCAAGGUCUACGGUUUCGAGAAGAAGAUCACCAACAAAAUACCAGCGGAUACGUACAUAGACCCGAAACCUAGGGACGGGUACACAGUCGAGACCAGGACGGACAAGUACGGGGACAAGUACCUGGUGGAGACGCGCACCCACCAGAGCUACACCGACGACUUCAAGCCGUUUCUCAGCGACCGGUCGAGGACCAGCCCGGAGGAGAGGUUCCAGUCAAGGGGAAAGACGUCCUAUCACAUGGAAGAGGCACCAGCUCGCUCCAGGAUCGAGACCAAGGACCUCCGCGAGGCCUCGCCCAUCGUCGCCAAGAAGAUCUACGAGCACAAGUUCUCCAGGAGCGAGGACUUCCUGGACCGCGAGUCCAAGCCCCCAAGGGAACCCCACUUUCCAAAGACCAAGAAGAACUUCGAGUCCAUCCGCGGCAUGAGCAAGUCCACCCAACGGCUGGACGAGAUCGGAGAAAACUCUCGAGUCAGGGCGCUGAGGUCAGAGUACGUCUCCAGGUCCCACGAGAACCUCAGCAGCGCCGACUACGCCAACAUCGGGGACCUGCACCUGCCAGCUGGGAGCUCAUCUCCGAUCUCGCCCAAACAAAGACCACAUCGCCUGGAAGACAACCCCAGAGAUCAGCCCAUCGACGACUACGACACGGACAUCUCGCAGAUGACCAACAGCCAGCUGGAGUCCAACUACUUCAAGGAGACUAGAACAACGCAGAGGUACUCGACCAGCAAGAGGGCCCUACACGACGACUACGACAGUUCACCACCGAGGCUGAAAUCCGACCGACCUGGGUAUGGAUCCAGCAGAUACGACUCCGACACCACCGCCAGGGACUCCAUCCGCCGCGAGGCGCGCUACCAGGACGACCCCUCCAGGGUCAGGAAGAAUCUGCACGCGCCCGCGGAGGAGGACCCUAAGAAACCUCUGAGGAGGUCUCGCAACCACCUGGACUACUUCGACGAUUCCGAUGCCAGAGACAGCCCUCGCGGGAACUCCACCAAGAGCCGGCUGGAGACCUUCGACGAGAGCCCUGCCGGCACUCCCAGGGUCUACCAUCACGAGAGCAAGAUCCGCCACACGCGGCACGAGACCCGGGGCUACACCGAACGUCGUCACCGGGAAACCAGGCUCAGCGACCCUGAUCGCAAGGACAGGCUCGCGGAUUCUGGGAUCGAGAACGACUAUAGGCGCGACUCCCAGGAGGCCGAUCGCAGGGAGAACCUCGAGUCCGAGGACGAGGGCUUUGUCACAAUGCGCUUCAUCAAGCACGAGCGCAGACACACCGACAGGAACAUGAGCAGUCCUGGGGAGAAGCGAAAGUACGACAAGUACGCCACCAACAGCGGAAAACCUGCGCCGCUGACCUCCAAGCCACCCACUGGGUUGAUGGCUGGUGACAAGAAGUACGAGAAGAAGGCUGCCAAGAAGAGCGGCACCAUGAGCAAGGUCAAGCAGCUCUUCUCCAAGAAGGAGAAGAAGGUCAAGGAGGAGAAGAGCAAGAGGGGCAGACCUGGGAGCAACGGCGCUCUCACCGAUGACGAGGUCACCAUGAGGUACCGCGAGUAUCGUGGGGAUCAGCUCAGGAGCGCCAAAAGCGCCAGGGACCUCGACAGCGACAUCAACAGGGACGAUUACAGUCAACGACGACGUCUGUCUACUCCCAGCGGAAGUCCCAGCCCGCCUCGACCCGCCAGGUUGUCCCGAUCGACGGGAACCUUGACUCGCGACGAGGAUCACUUUUGUGGGUCCAAAAGCACCCUGACGAGAGAGAACCAAGGCCAAGAGGCAGAAAGGAAGGGAUGGUUCAAGUCCCUCUCCAGAAAGAACAAGACCAACGCUAAGGCCGUCGACAAAAAGCCAAGGAUACCCGAAAGCGAGAUACUGACGACCGGCACCGAGGACGAGGAGGUGUCCUCGACGCCGGAAAGGGUGUCCGUCCAGAAGAACCUCCGCUUCUUCGGCGACACCGACCAGGAAUCCGUCUCGUCCAACCGGGACCGAAAGAGCAAACGAGCCGAGGACCACGUCGACGCGAGGCGCGACGCAACGAAUUCGAGUCGCCACCCUCUGGGGUUGGUCGCACCCCCCAGGAAGCCGCGACUCGCAGAGAGUGCGUUGUCUUCAGGAGAAAGCACGACCGGCGACAGCAGCCAACAGAGCCAGAACUCCCAGCGAUCGCAACGAUCCGUUGUCUAUCUACACGCUCCUACAGAAAUUCCAGUUGGCGACAUCCCGGGACCGAACGAACGACGCAGAGCAGCCAGCCGCGAGGAGUUGAACCGACCCUUGCAGGCAUUCACGAGGACCGUCUCGAGGAGCGUGAGCGUCCUGGCGCCCUGGAAGCCUCGGCACUACCGGGAGCCCUUCGAGAUCAACUACGACCAACAGCAGCAGCACCACCACCAAAAGCCCGUCUCGACGAUGCGACGCAAACAGCGCAGUCGCGAAACGCUCAAUCGACGCGGAAAGGAAGCCCGACGAAGCAAGGACAACCUGGCGAAAACCGGAACGAUCAGUCGCAGCACCCUAAAGUCGCAGGAGAAGCAGAAGGUGGACCGGACGAUGUCGACGGAGUCGCUGGCCAACAAGUCGCGGACUUCCGGUUCCCGGCCGGAACUCGGCAGGUCCACUUCCGUGCCGCGCGACCCGAACAAGGGCGCCGGCUGGUUCAAACUGAAAAGCGGCAAGAAAUCCAGGGCCUGAGCCCACAGGCCAUUGACCAAUGCUAGUCUUGAGUUCUCACGAGUAACUCGCGCUCGAUCGCGCCCGCCGAAUUGAGCAAGCCCCGUCGUAACACCCCACGAAAGGGUUCCGCUCGCCCCUUGCGACAAUUACCCCAACAAGCUUAAUCGACUACAGUCCAUAGUCGCAAUUCCGCCGAUUAACUGGAUUCGAGGAAAACCGGGAACGUUUACGAUAUUUACAGAGCCGUUUGACGCGAGCGAAAGAUGGCGGCGCCGCUAGUCGGUGCUGCCAUCUGUGGGAGGCACCCGAAACCCACUCGCCAAUCCACCAUUUUCUCGGCCGGAACGACAUUUUCCCGAACCUACUUUCCGGUUGUUGGAUUUCUUCGCGGUGAUCGAAAGUUCCAGAGCUUACUAGCGGUGGAGCGUUCUUUUACGGUGGAAUUUGAAAUCUUUCAGUAAAUUAGGGACCUCGGGAAACGCGGGAACGGAGUUGGACCGUGGUUCGAUAGAUGGCGGCACGCGUCAUCUUCCGACCGCUGCCCCGCCACGUUUGAAACUUCCCGCGGGAAUCUUAAAUGACCGAUAAUGAGAGACCGCUUUCUAAUCAAUUGCUCCGAAAUUACUUGUCGAUCUCUUCGAUCGAUCGAUUCUACCGGGAAAUAUCGCAUGUUCUCGUUCGAACGGUAUCGCCACUCAGUGGAAGAGCGACCUGCAAUAUCUAACAUUCCUAAAAUGCCAUUUUACACACGUAAUAAUUUGCAACCGUAAACACUGCGACUCACGCUUCCCCCGGUGCGACAGAGUCUCACGCCAAGUGCAGAUAUUAAUGCAAAACUAUGCAGACACUUGUACGAAGAACCGAAGCGAGUCUGGCGACACUCAGACCGGGCUUUCUUUAGAAAUAAAACUGUAACGUUGCGACCUCGAGUCAACUGCAUGCAGGAAAUAAUAAAUUACUUAUACUUACAAGUAUCUAACGAGAACACGUCAUUGCCAAGCGAUAAUCACGGUGUCUUGAGAAAUGAGAAACACGGAACUACGAUGCAUGAGACCUUAGAGUCACGAUAUUUACAUAGCCUUCUCUCUGCAGGAUUUAUUUACGUAAAUUUGGCGUGUACGAUGAGAACGCAUUCGACAACUACGUGGGCCACAAUGUUAACGAUAGAGAGGGAACUCUUCUGGGCAUUUAAUGUACCUAGAAGGUACGUUGCCAUUCCAGUAAUGAACCUUUCGAACACGUUCACGGUUCGUCCCGACUCGAACCUCUUUCCUAAAAGAAAAAAGUAAUGAAACGAACCGUUCGCAUCGAAGAAGUACGAACGCGAAGAUACCGUACUUAUUUUUCUUUUCAACUUACCAUGAGUCACUGUGCCAUUCCUGCCCUUCUAUGUCGACAGUAUUAUUACUUUGAACUUAAUCAAAAUUACCGAAGCAACAAAAGUUCUACUACUAGAAGAUUAUUAAUAUUCGGAUAUGCAUAACAAUUUGCGCUGACUCUGUGCCAAUUGACUGUGAAUUUAUGCAUGCGACGGCUCACAAAUGAAUUUGGAUGCCAUAACUGCAACACCGAUUCUGCAAGAGUAUGUAAAUUGAAUGAUUAAGUUGUGAGAGCGAGAGUGUAAUGCGGAACGUGUAUUUUCAUAUGUACCGAAUUGGCUAACACGAUUAAUAGAGAACUCACUGCGCUCCAACUUCAAGCUCUUUUUGGUGCUAUUUACAUGUGUAUAUAUAAACCUUUAACUUAGAUUUGCAUGUAAAUAUCAUAGAUAUAAAGAUACUUUGGCCAGACAUAUUGAUACUUAUAGGUGGGUGGUCGUCAAAGUCCGGACGAUACCAAGGAUGAGAUCGUUGAAAAGUAUAAUUUCAAAACUAUGCCAUUCCGCGAGCAACCCACUCAGUGUCGUUAAUUAACCUAGCUCUUAACGCUGCUAAAUAUAAGCCAAUGUUACGUGCACACAAGUGCAAUCUUUGAAACAAAUUAUAUUUUGUAACACUAUUGAAUAAUUUGAAAUAAAUAAACGUAAUACCAAG